RNAcentral lists this ribosomal RNA (253 nucleotides) under uncultured bacterium. Its description in RNAcentral is "partial 16S ribosomal RNA". It matches the Rfam family "Bacterial small subunit ribosomal RNA", at positions 524 to 776 of the family's 1533-position model. The record is from RNAcentral.
UACGUAUGGAGCAAGCGUUAUCCGGAUUUACUGGGUGUAAAGGGUGCGUAGGCGGCACAGCAAGACAGAUGUGAAAGACCGGGGCUCAACCCCGGGGCUGCAUUUGAAACUGCCGAGCUUGAGUCCGGGAGAGGCAGGCGGAAUUCCUAGUGUAGCGGUGAAAUGCGUAGAUAUUAGGAGGAACACCAGUGGCGAAGGCGGCCUGAUGGACCGGAACUGACGCUGAGGCACGAAAGCGUGGGGAGCAAACAGG